UGUGGUUUGGGAAUAGGUGCCACUUAAGAAGAUACAAAAAAAAAAAAAGGAUACUCGAUAGAGAAAAUAACCACACAUCUUGGAACAGGGUCAUUUCUGGUCACUGAGAAAUGAUUCCAUUUGGAUCCAGGUUGCCAGGGAAGAAUGAAUGUGCAGCACAUGUGUGCAUAGGACAAGCCCACAUGAGAAAAUGAGGCCUCAUGAUUGAUGCUUCUCAACGAUUCUCUUUGGCCUGAACUGAUGAGAAGUUGGUCUGAGUUUAAGGCACUGAACAGAUCAUCAAACUCUCCACAUAUCACCUCAUCAUGGUCAUCACAGUCUCUCAGCAUGGAAACAACCUGGCUGGCUGCAGGGAUAACCUCCGUGGAAAGUCCCAGGAGGGCUGAGGGAUCUUCUGCGAGGUACUGCCAGCCAGGACCCAGAAGGGUCUCAGCAAAGCUCAGUGGGCUUCGUUCAGCUGGUGCUGGCAUUACCCUCCUUUCCCGAGAGCAAAUGUCUGUGGAGCUGCUUCGAUAGAAGAAACAUUUGCCUUGCUCCCUCGGGCCUCCAUCCCCUCUGAGAUUCCUCAAGAGGAAACCUGGGCUCACUGGACAUUGCUCUGCUGAGCUUCCUCUAAUCUCCUGGCACUGAGUCAGGAGCUUUGUUCAAGGAAAGGAAAAUUACGAUUGUGUGUACAAAUUGAUUCUAACUCUGAAGGAAGCAGUCAUCUAGGACCAUGUGGACUGGACAUCUAGGACCAUCCUGCUCAACCUAACAGUGCAGAGCACCGGGCAAGGGGGAAACCAGGCCGCCCGAAGAAUCUCCUGAGGAACUGGAGCCAUGGUGAUGGGAUCAACAAGCUCCAGAAUGACAGCAGAUAGCAAGAGGCAGGAGAGUGAACUGAAAAGAAGAGGAUCCUACAGCAAGUUGCUGACCCAGCUUACAGCACAGCUGCCCUCUUUCAUAAAAUGGGAAGAAUCAUUUGUGCCUCUCUGUACCAUCGUCCUCAAUGCUCGAAAACAAGUAAGACCCCUCUAUCUUGGAAAAGUCUGACAAAUGUUCCCUAGAGGCUGCUGAGGAAGGGAGCCAUUCCAC
Molecule: long non-coding RNA, 1074 nt
Organism: Myotis lucifugus (little brown bat)
Lineage: Eukaryota; Metazoa; Chordata; Mammalia; Chiroptera; Vespertilionidae
Exons: 3
Source: RefSeq, a predicted model, not a curated record